Molecule: long non-coding RNA, 619 nt
Organism: Oncorhynchus tshawytscha (Chinook salmon)
Lineage: Eukaryota; Metazoa; Chordata; Actinopteri; Salmoniformes; Salmonidae
Source: Ensembl
CAGUCUCUAUCAGCAUCAACGUCAUCACAGGUCAGUCCCCUGUCCCCCUACACCAGUCUCUAUCAGCAUCAACGUCAUCACAGGUCAGUCCCCUGUCCCCCUACACCAGUCUCUAUCAGCAUCAACGUCAUCACAGGUCAGUCCCCUGUCCCCCUACACCAGUCUCUAUCAGCAUCAACGUCAUCACAGGUCAGUCCCCUGUCCUCCUACACCUGUCUCUAUCAGCAUCAACGUCAUCACAGGUCAGUCCCCUAUCCCCCUACACCAGUCUCUAUCCUGACAUCAACGUCAUCACAGGUCAGUCCCCAAUCCCCCUACACCAGUCUCUAUCCUGACAUUAACGUCAUCACAGGUCAGUCCCCUAUCCCCCUACACCAGUCUCUAUCAGAGGGACAGUGCUGCUGUCAGCCUGAAUGAAGAGGUUUAUCCUGACAUCAACGUCAUCACAGGUCAGUCCCCUGUCCCCCUAAACCAGUCUCUAUCAGAGGGACAGUGCUGCUGUCAGCCUGAAUGAAGAGGUUUAUCCUGACAUCAACGUCAUCACAGGUCAGUCCCCUGUCCCCCUAAACCAGUCUCUAUCAGAGGGACAGUGCUGCUGUCAGCCUGAAUGAAGAGGUUU